Molecule: ribosomal RNA, 834 nt
Filed under: uncultured archaeon
Lineage: Archaea
Description: bacterial SSU rRNA
Rfam family: Archaeal small subunit ribosomal RNA
Source: RNAcentral
ACGGCUCAGUAACACGUGGAGAACCUGCCCUUAGGCGGGGGAUAAUCCCGGGAAACUGGGAAUAAUACCCCAUAGGUCUCGACUGCUGGAAUGCUUCGAGGCUGAAAGCUGCGGCGCCUGAGGAUGGCUCUGCGGCCUAUCAGGUCGUAGUGAGGGUAACGUCCUCACUAGCCGAUGACGGGUACGGGCGUUGAGAGACGGAGCCCGGAGAUGGACUCUGAGACACGAGUCCAGGCCCUACGGGGCGCAGCAGGCGCGAAACCUCCGCAAUGCUCGAAAGAGUGACGGGGGGAUUCCAAGUGCCUACGCUAAGCGUAGGCUGUUCAGAUGCCUAAAAAGCAUCUGGAGGAAGGACUGGGUAAGACGGGUGCCAGCCGCCGCGGUAAUACCCGCAGUCCAAGUGGCAGCCGAUUUUAUUGGGCCUAAAGCGUCCGUAGCCGGUCUGGCAAAUGCCUGGGUAAAUCGUCUGGCUCAACCAGACGAAUUCCGGGUAGACUGCUAGACUUGGGACCGGUUGAGGGAGAGGGUACUUCAGGGGUAGGAGUGAAAUCCUGUAAUCCUUGAAGGACCACCAGUGGCGAAGGCGCUCUCCUAGGACGGAUCCGACGGUGAGGGACGAAAGCCAGGGGAGCGAACCGGAUUAGAUACCCGGGUAGUCCUGGCCGUAAACGAUGCGGGCUUGGCAUUGGGGGUCCUACGAGGGCGUCCAGUGCCGAAGCGAAGGCGUUAAGCCCGCCGCCUGGGAAGUAUGGUCGCAAGGCUGAAACUUAAAGGAAUUGGCGGGGGAGCACCGCAAUGGGAGGAGCGUGCGGUUUAAUUGGAUUCAACGCCGGG